AAGGAAGCACACUUAGGUCAUAGAUUAAGCCAUGCAAGUGUAAGUUCAGGGUAACUAAAACUGCGAACAGCUCAUUAACACACUCGGAAUCUAUUUGAUGGCACUCAUUAAGGGUUUAAAUGGAUAGCAGGAGUAAAUCUCGUGCUAAUACAUGCAAGUUGUUUCGCUUGAAAUGAACUAAAGCGGAAAAGUUAACCACAUUGGUACAUCAUUCGACGGAGUGACCUAUCAGCUUGUACUUAGGGUCUUUACCUAGGUAGGCUAUCACGGGUAACGGGCGGUUACCGUCGUACUGCCGGAGAAGGCGCCUGAGAGAUCGCGACUAUACCCAUGGGUAGCAGCAGGCGCGAAACUUUCCCACUCUUCAAAGAAGGAGGGGGUAAUGACCAGUUCUAUUAUAUCCUUAUGGAUUAUUAGAUAGGACCUCGCCUUAACCGCGAGGUGUAACCUAGCAGAGGGCCAGUCUGGUGCCAGCAGCUGCGGUAAUACCAGCUCUGCGAGUUUGCUCCCAUAUUGUUGCAGUUAAAACGCCCGUAGUCUGACUUACCAAUCGGUUUCUAAAGAACUGUGAACAAAUCAGGACGCUUAGAGUAUGUUUAGCAAGAAUGACUUAGCGCAGUCUUUAAUCUUUGCUCUUUUAGGGCAAGCUCAAAGAGAGCCAUCGGGGGUAGAUCUAUUUCAUGGCGAGCGGUGGAAUGCUCUGACCCAUGAGAGAGAAACUAAAGCGAAGGCAUCUACCUAGAGGGUUUCUGUCGAUCAAGGGCGAGAGUAGGAGUAUCGAACCGGAUUAGAGACCCGGGUAGUUCCUACUGUAAACGAUGCCGACAGGGGCUUGUCUUUUUUUAAAGGCAGGACCAUAGGAGAAAUCAUAGUUCAUGGGCUCUGGGGGAACUACGACCGCAAGGCUGAAACUUGAAGGAAUUGACGGAAGGGCACACCAGGGGUGGAGCCUGUGGCUUAAUUUGAAUCAACACGGGGAAACUUACCAGGACCAGAUGUUUUUUAAGACUGACCCACUAAAGAUGGUUCAGGAUAUGACUUGUGGUGGUGCAUGGCCGUUGGUGGUGCGUGGGUUGACCUGUCUAGCGUUGAUUCAGCUAACGAGCGAGAUUAUCGCCAAUUUUUAUAAAUUGGGACUCCCUGCGAUCUAGCAGGCGGAAGAGGGUAGCAAUAACAGGUCCGUGAUGUCCUUUAGAUGCCCUGGGCUGCACGCGUGCUACAAUGUGAGGCUCAAACAGCAGCUAUUUCGAAAGAAAACGCUACUCUGUCAAUACCUCACGUAGUUGGGAUUGACGGUUGUGAUCACCGUCAUGAACCAGGAAUCCCUUGUAAGCGUGUGUCAACAGCGCACGUUGAAUACGUCCCUGCCCUUUGUACACACCGCCCGUCGCUCCUACCGAUUGGAUGACUCGGUGAAAUUGCUUGAUCUUAGGAGAAGGCAAUUAAAUCACGUUAUCUAGAGGAAGGAGAAGUCGUAACAAGGUAACG
Molecule: ribosomal RNA, 1488 nt
Filed under: uncultured Parabasalia sp.
Lineage: Eukaryota; Parabasalia
Description: SSU rRNA
Rfam family: Eukaryotic small subunit ribosomal RNA
Source: RNAcentral